CAGGAUAGUAAUCAAAUAAACUAUCUUCCUCUAUACACUUUGCUCUUUCACUUGUUCAAGCCAUCCAUUGCCUCUCUCUCUCUUUCUGUCUAGGGUUUCUUUCAAAGUUUUAUCUAUUCAAAACAACUCAAUCUUGCUAAAUAUGUUUAGAUUUCAGUCACAAUGAGAUUUUUUUGGACUCAAUCGCCUUGAUAUACUUGCUUAUUUAUUGUUCUCUUCUGUUUGAUUUGAAGAAAAGAUUUGGAUAUUCUUGUUUGUACUAUGACUUCUACUGUUCCAGCAAAGUCUAGUAACCCACUUCACAACUUUGAUUUACCAUACUUGAAAUGGAAGAAGAAUCAGCACUCAAACAAUCACCAGCGCCGCCGAUCAAAUAAGCUUUCUUCAGAUUCAUCUUCCCCGUCGCGCCAUCAUUCGCCACAGCGUCAAUCACAAUCUCACUCUCCAAUGCGUGAAUCCAUGGCGGCGCGUCAGUCUCCUAUGCGUGAUUCUGUUGCACGUCAGUCUCCCAUGCGAGAGCCUAUUCUGGGGUUUCGUCAGUCUCCCAUGCGCGAAUCAUCCUCUCCGAUGCGUGAUUUGGUUGUGGCGAAUCACCGGUCUCCGAUGCGUGAUUCUGUUGUGGCGUCUCACCGGUCUCCGAUGAGUGAUUCUGUUGUGGCAUCUCGCCGGUCUCCGAUGCAUGAUUCUGUUGCGGCGGCAUCCCGACGGUCUCCGAAGUCUGAAUUUGUUGCUGCGGCUCGCCAGUCUCCGACGUCUGAAUCCAUUACGGCGUUUCGCCAGUUUUCCAUGCGUGAUUCCGUGCCUCCACGUCAGUCUCCGAUGAGGGAGUCUGUGCUGCCGCGUCAGUCUCCAAUGCACUGUGAAUCUGUUCCUGAAUCGGACAAGGACAGAAGUGUUGUUGAGUAUCGUAGGCAUUCACGAAUUUCAGCACCUGAAAGUACGAAGAAAGGGAUCUGUGAGAAAUCAGAUAAGAAGCAUAAAGUAGUAGAGGUGGAUGCGGCUGGGAAUAAAGAAGGUAGAUCGAAAAUCUUGCUCAAAAUUCCUCGGAAAAACAAGGCCGAGGAAAUCCAUGAAGAGCAAAAGGGUGAUGAAUCUCAAGAGGUUACUGCAGACGAGGAAGCUGCUGAAGAUACAGCACCAAAGACGUGGAAUCUGAGACCCAGAAAGGCUGUACAAAAAUCAUUGAAUGUGAAUGGAGGUCCAUUUCGAGCCAGUGGAUCGGUGAUACAGGAGAACAAAUCUCAAUCGCCUCACAUGAAUGUGAACAAGCCAGAAAAUAAUGAAUCCAACCCUCCGAAAAAGGUAAAAAGGCCUAGGUUUUCGAUAGCCCUCUCCAGAGAAGAAAUUGAUGAAGAUAUAUAUGCUAUGACUGGAUCAAAGGCUACAAGAAAACCUAAGAAGAGAGUAAAGACUGUUCAGAAACAACUUGAUACGCUCUUCCCUGGUUUAUGGCUAGCUUCAAUAACUCCUGAUUUGUAUAAAGUUUGUGAAAAUGUUCCAAAGGGUUAAAAGCAAUCCUUCAAAGGUGGUGGUUGUCCUUCGAAUGUCCUUUGCUUUUUGUGGAAGUUUGAAGGUGAUGGCUUCCAAAUUUUAUGAUUGCAUUUGGAGGUUCAGGAAUGAUACUUUCAGCCUUAAAAGUUGUUAUCCAACACAAAUUCUCUUCUCCCAAAAACAUUAUUUGAGAGGUAGGAGACUGGCAAUUAGGUAUAAGCUGAUAUAUGCGAAGGAGCGGCCAUUUUGACAUGACUACUCCUUCAAUCAUCCAUCAUCCAUCAUCCAUCAUCCAUCAUCCAUCCCACUGAGUAACAAUCACUAUAUCUGUUGAAGUAGGUCAGUGGGAGGUAAUAUAUCAUAUUUGAGCAUGUAAUUCCUUUUGAAUAUAUCAAAGUAAAAAUGUUUUCUUACUUCUUGAGCUGCGACAUAUUUGAACUUUACAACUUACCCAUGGUUUUAGGCAGCCUUACACUGACCUGGCUUGGCUAUAAGUUAUGAAGAUGGAGAAAAUCAUCCAGGUUCCAACUUUGUGUAUUUUCUCAUAAUAGAGUUUUACAUUCUCAUCAUAAACAUUAUAAUUUCUUCCUCUGCUUCCUGAUCAUCUCUACGUUCAGGUUGCAACAUACAGUGCGAUUGUAUGAUUGCAGAUUUAGGUGUUUGGGCAAUGCACAUGCUUGUAGUCACUCUAUUUCCCCUCUUUGUGCAUCUGGGUGAGAUGGGUAGUCUAGUCUGGGAUUCCUCUGUUUCUGGAUUUUCUCUUUUAGUUUAAUAUCAUGAUUUAAUAAACCUCAUUAUGGUCUCACAGUACUAGACCUCUUGUUUAGUGUUCCAAUUUACUCUUCUAGUUGUGCAGUGCUUGUGCUAGACAACGUUUACGGUAGAUCACUCAAGGUAUAGAACCAAACAGUCAAUGAAAGGUAAUUAAAAGCCAUUCCUUGAUUGUUUGAAGCCAUGAAGCGAUGCAAAGCCAGGGGCGCCAAAAGCUUUAUGAUGGGCAAAGCCAUGCACUUCUGAGAAUUGUGCGCUUCAAACAGUGACGUGCAAUAUUAUCUCAAGAAGUAGCAGCCAACUCAUUGAAUGUUAUCUCUGAGGAGUUGGAUUGAUAUCAGCAUUUCAAAAUUACUUCUUAUGGUAACGAUUAUAUUUGGUAUUUUAAUUCUUUGUCAGUUAUGUGUUUUGCUUCAAUUAAGUGUGCGCAUCACUGCACGCUUUUUGGCUUCAAGCUCGAUGGAUUUGUGGCUUUAUAGAGCAAUUUGUUUUUAAAAGCACCGAAACUGGAUGAGAACUAUAGGAUAAGAAGGGUGCAUUUGAUAUGACGGAGCUGUUUUUCAAGAAAAUGUUUUCUUGCUAAGCAAAAGGUUUUUAUCGUGUCAGG
Molecule: RNA transcript, 2869 nt
Organism: Solanum tuberosum (potato)
Lineage: Eukaryota; Viridiplantae; Streptophyta; Magnoliopsida; Solanales; Solanaceae
Exons: 4
Source: RefSeq, a predicted model, not a curated record